Molecule: ribosomal RNA, 473 nt
Filed under: uncultured delta proteobacterium
Lineage: Bacteria; Deltaproteobacteria
Description: bacterial SSU rRNA
Rfam family: Bacterial small subunit ribosomal RNA
Source: RNAcentral
CGUGAGUGAUGAAGGCUUUCGGGUCGUAAAGCUCUGUCAAGUGGGAAGAACCUGCAGUAUGCUAAUAUCAUAUUGCACUGACGGUACCACUGAAGGAAGCACCGGCUAACUCCGUGCCAGCAGCCGCGGUAAUACGGGGGGUGCAAGCGUUAUUCGGAAUCAUUGGGCGUAAAGAGCACGUAGGCGGCCUGGUAAGUCAGAUGUGAAAGCCCGGGGCUUAACCCCGGAAGUGCAUUUGAUACUGCCAGGCUUGAGUAUGGGAGAGGGAAGUGGAAUUCCUGGUGUAGAGGUGAAAUUCGUAGAUAUCAGGAGGAACACCGGUGGCGAAGGCGACUUCCUGGACCAAUACUGACGCUGAGGUGCGAAGGCGUGGGUAGCAAACAGGAUUAGAUACCCUGGUAGUCCACGCAGUAAACGUUGUUCACUAGGUGUAGCGGGUAUUGACCCCUGCUGUGCCGCAGUUAACGCAUUAA